This 696-nucleotide ribosomal RNA is filed under the name Triticum aestivum (bread wheat). RNAcentral describes it as "partial small subunit ribosomal RNA". The record is from RNAcentral. Lineage: Eukaryota; Viridiplantae; Streptophyta; Magnoliopsida; Poales; Poaceae.
AUGGCGCUAUUCCGGGCCUCCACGACUAUCACUAUCGAAGAUGGAAAGCGUGCCAGUUUCUGGAAGGAUAAAUGGAUCGGUGAUUCUCCGCUAUGCACUCGUGCCCCUGAGCUCUACAAGAUUGCUACAAGAAAGAACAGGACGGUUUGUGAAGAUCUGGAGGGGGAUCGCUGGAUUACUGCCAUUGACCGGUUGACCACUGCCGUCCAGCUCUGCGAAUUCCUCGACAUUUGGCAGCUUCUACAGACCACCGGCAUUGACCCCUCCCGUCCAGACUCCAUCCGCUGGAACUGGAUGGGUUCAGGGGAAUACUCCAACAAGUCUGCCUACCAUAUGCAGUUCUCUGGUCGCUUGGUGCCUUUCCGCUCUGCUAAGGUUUGGAAAGCACAGGCACCCCCAAAUGCAAGCUCUUCGCCUGGCUUGUCCUGCAUGGAAGGAUCCUCACGGCGAAAAACCUGGCAAUCCGUGGAUGGCCACACAAUCCUAUAUGCCGCCUUUGCAUGGCAUCCAAUGAGACGGUCACUCAUCUCUGUAGAGAUUGCCCCUUCUCGCAGGCGGUCUGGAGGAGCGUCCACGCAGCGGAGGGAAUGCCUAGCCCGAGCCCACCGGACAAUGGAACCUCCAUCAACACGUGGUGGGAGGGCUUUCUUGCCAGUGUUCCAGCUCAGAACAGGCGAGAGAGUAGUGGAGCCAUGA